Chinchilla lanigera (long-tailed chinchilla) is the source of this 4791-nucleotide long non-coding RNA. The record is from Ensembl. Lineage: Eukaryota; Metazoa; Chordata; Mammalia; Rodentia; Chinchillidae.
AUGUCGAUUCCCGAGUCCAGAAGAGCUGUUGCAACACAAGAUCGUCUUCCUAAGAGGAAAUUUCCUGGAGAUUCCUUCCUCCGAAAGCCUUGGCUUUCAGAGCACUUCCCCGGUCCCAGGUGUGGGGACAAGACUGUGAACGUGACAGAAGGAGCCCCAGCCCUCCGGAGCUUGAACAGAGGGAGACAGACAGUGGACAGGGACCGGCCCGCCGUGACACCGCAGGGCAUCCUGACAUCUGCGCGUGCAAAGUUGCCACAGCCUGAGGACACGUUCCCAUCCCUCCAUGCCAGAGCAGUGUUCUGUCCCCUCUCUGGAAUCCACAUGGGGUUUCUGAUCAUUUCAGGAUUGUGUGACGGCGACAGAAAGCUUCUGCUAUGGGAGACACCAGAAUAUGGAAAACCCUCAGGAAGUGUCACCUCCUCGCACCACCCGCUUGCAAUGGAAAAGUACCCAGACCAGCACCACAGCCUGCACCUGCUUCCGGAAAGAGGUUCGUGAGGAGUUCACGAACAAGGCCAGCUCCGUGUCAGAGAUCCUGGGGUGGGCACAGAAGGGGUCAGGAGGACGGGGAGAAUGACGGAACUUACCACACGAAAUCAGAAGAAAGAAAGUACUGUGCAUUUCAUUUUGAUAUCAAAUGGCACCUGUGGUCAUACAGGAAUUUUCAGCCGUUAUAGUGUCGUAGAUGCUGAACCUAAGGACUAUUUCACACGGGAGACUGGGGUAUUUCAUGGCUGCCAGGGAAGUGACAGAGUUGAUUGACAGCCUUGCAGAUCAGAAAUAUGAAAUGAUUUUUGGGAUGCUAAUAUCCCUAAGGUUUGCACAAUAAAUUCUUUUAGAGAAAAAAAUGAAUUACAACAAAACUUCUGCUUCUGGGAAAACGGUGUGCUUUCUAUAUUCCUCUGACCAAAUGCAGUUAGAAACUGGAUAGGGAGCAGAAACCAAGGACACAGAGCAGCAAAGAAGUCAGACAGGUGAGGAGCCUUGGGAACAGGGAAGGAAGCAGUACAGAGUUCUGGUUUCCUCUCCACCUCACAUAUGCCAGGCUUCAUGCCAAAAUAGCCAGAAACCCAGAGACACCGUAGGUGCAGACAAGAUGUCCUAACAAUGGACUUUUCUGGAGAAUCAGGAAGGAACAGCCCCACAAGGCAUAAAACUUUAAACGAUAACCAUCCUACACCAGCAAAGCAUCAUAUUAACAAAAAAACCUGUGGCCCGUCAGACCUACAGUAGUCAAGGACAAUAGGAAACGAGUUUGACACUUCCAAGGCUGCUGUGAGAUACCCCGAAUUCCCCGCCUGCAGGGCCAGAGAAAGCUGGGUAGGGGGACUGAAUUUUCAAAGCCACCAGCUCAUAACUAGUUCCCCAGGCCAGAAUCAGUGGAGACCACAUGAGGAUCCUCAACUUUCAUUCCCAAGUGGCAAUAAUGAGGUACAUUUCCUGGCUCUGCUGGGGUGUAGAAGGAGGACUUCAUCCCUGCCCACUGCUAAUGAAAUCAUCCCACCCACAGUGCCAGUGGAGGUCAUGUGAGCAGCCACAUGUCCAUCCACCCUGCAGUAAUGAGGACCCCUUCACUGCUUGGUAGCAAGGGAGGUCAGUAAGAACGUGGAUAUCUAACUUCACCCCUGUCACUGCUAGAGGAGCGGGGAAGCCAGCUAGUUGGAGGAGUUAGUAGCUCUAUGGUGCGGUGGUUAAGCUUCAUUGUAUCACCUUGGUUGUCUUGAGAAUCACCUCCAAGAUCAGUAAACACAGUUAUGCGUGUGUCUGGCGGGUCAUGGUGGCAUAGCCUUGGGUGCUGUAUCAGGUCCCCUGCCCUUCCUUUCCGGUGCUGUUGGCCUGCUCUCCUUCCUGGCCACCACGAACUGAGUACCUCACCUGCACCACACCAUCUGCCAUGGAGUUCGGAGUCGGAUCACUGUGGACUGGAUCCCCCAAGUCUGUCAGAAAAAUUCAGUCUCUCCUUUAAAUUGUGGAUGUUGACUAUUGUGUCACAGUGAAGGGAAAGCUGACUAAAUACAGAAAAUUCCUACCAGAAGUGAAGUCAUUGCUGGGAUUGUGUGUGACCAUGUGAUCAGAAGCAUUGGAAACAACUUUGCAGAAAGAGUUUAUAAAUAAGGCUGGAGAAGCCUUAAAAUGAUGCCAGCAGAGCUUAAUGGGAAAUUUCGGUCAGAGAUCACAAGACCAGACUGGACAGAGGAAAGUGGACAGUAAAAGCCAGGGUCAGGAGGUUUUUGCUUGAAAAUGAAGAUUCUUUGGGGAGUUGUACUAGAGGCCAUCCAUGCAGGUUACACUCUGGCCAAAAGUGUAUCUGCAUUUUGCCCAUGUCCUAAGGCUUUACGGGAGGCUCAGUUCAAGGGCAGUGGUGUAACUGGUGUGAUGGAGAAAACCCAAGGCAUCACAACAUUCAGGCUGUGGCACAGGUGUUGAUGGAACAGACAAAUUUCUAGUGAGAAUCAGCAACAAAAAGCAAAGCAAAAAUAAUUAAAAACUUAAAUUUUGUCUCAGAAGGAACUAUGUGUAAAGUUGGAAACAAAGAGCACAUAUCUGCUGUAGGAAUUAGAACCUUGAAAAGGAAACCAAGUACUUUUUAUGGAGAUAAAAAGAAAGAAGCCUUGAAUGAAUCUCAAAAAUUUAUAAGAUACCACUCAUUGUAGACUCAAGGCAUAUGAAUGUAAGCAUUUCCUUUGAGAAGAGUCCCUGGGAUACCUGCCAGAAAACUUCCUCCUAGAAAAUUGGUUCCUUGGAUUUACCUCACCAUGCUCAGCCAUCCAGGCACUUAAGAGAUCACUGCAGCCGUGGUCCAAGGGGCUCUGGGUACUGCUCAAGCUCGCAGCAGACCUUGGUGAACUCUACAUUAUGCUACUUUUACUGGCAUGCAGAAUGCAAUCAUUGUGGGGCCAGGGAAGCUUCUACCCAGAUUUCAUAGCAAGCCUGUCAGGCUAGGCAAGGGAUCCCUGAGAAAGCAGUAUGUGUAGGAAUGGGAAUUAAGUGAACGGUGCAGUGGAGACCCCAGGAAGUUAGAGAUACUGGGAAUGAGGGAAGUCAGCUAAGGAAAGCCACAGGCUGUGAACAGUCCCAGACCAAGAGAGAGGCCACGUGGGCUGCAGCCAGCACAGUCAUAAGAUGGAGCCACCCAGGCACUCUGCAAUUCACCUUUCACCUUUGAUGUUUACUGAGCUGUGUUUCAGCAUUGCUUCAGUCUUAUUGUUUUCUACCCUCUCCUUCUUCCCCUUUGGAAUGGGAAUGUUUAACCUGUGCCAUUGUACCUAGGGGUUAUACAACCUGUGUUUUAUUCAUAUAGAGUUUCAUAGUUAAGAGUUUGCCUUGAGUCUUGGAGGAAACUUUGACUUACAAAUUUGAGAAAUACUGGAACUGUGGAGACUCCAGGGAAGGUAUUGAGUUCUUGAUUGUGUAGAGGAUAGUUACAUGUGAGAUGAACUUAUUAAUUUGUUUUUAUACUUAUUUAAAGAACAAGUGUGGUGUAAGGAGAUGUGUUUGGGUGUCAGUUUGACAGAGUUGAAUGUGGUGGUUAAGCUUCAUUAUGUCAAGCUGAUUUGGCCAUUGAAAGCCAUUAUGGUUUGCAUCUAGAUGUGCCCCUAAGAGCUCUGUGUGCUCAUAGGUGGGGCUUCUGGAAAGUGAGUGUAUUCUGGGUACUGAUCCCUGAUUUGCAAUUAGGAGAUGAGGCUUGGGUGAAGAGGAAGUUCACUAGGGACAUGGCCUGGGAGGGUUCAUCUCCCUUCCUAGCUCAUCCCCAAACACUCUCCUUCCCUCCACCAUGCCACCCUGCCUUGGAGCCAGCCAGCUAUGAACUGAAACCUCUACAAACUGUGAGGCAAAAUAAACCUCUUUUUCUUUAAGUUGUGAGUGUCAGGUAUUUUUUGCUAGCAACAAGGAAAAUACUAAGACAAGAGCCACCAGGGGGAUUAGAAAAGCACACGUCCAGGUGUGUCGGAGGGGAGAUCAUGGAGUGUGACCUUGGAGAUGUAUCUGGUCCCUGGCCCUUUUUCCUCUGGCACUGUUCCCAUGCUCUGACUUCCAGACCCCAUGAACUAAGUGGCUUUGUUCCAUCACGCCCUUCCACCAUGAUGGUCCUGUCUUGGGGCCAGCUGACCAUGAGCUGAAUCCCCUGAAACUGUUAGCCAAAGUAAACCCUUCCUCCUUAAGUUACUGAGGUCAGUGUCCAAGGAGUGAGAAAGCUGACUAGGAUAUGAAGAUGUUUUACAAAGCAGGAAUACCUCAAAUGGGUGUACUGAAAUGACAUGCUGGCUUAUUUGAAAAGAUUACAAAGCAGCCAUGAUAAAAGUGCAUCAAAGAGAGAUAUAGAUACACUUUAAACAAAAGAAGAAAAUGGGAAUUCCUAUCAGAGAAAUAGAAGAUAUAAAAAACCAAGUAGAAAUUUGAGAACUAAGGCUACAUAAGACAGCUUGAUUUUAGUCUAGGUGUAUGUAAAGGAAAUGUAUUAUUAUUUUCUGCACUUGUCUUGAACUGGUGAACUAUUGUCAUUAGUUUACUGUAAUAAAUUUCAUGCAGAUAAUGUAAAACUAGAUAAUGUAAAAGAAGCUCUACAAAGAAAUGCACUGAAAGCCUUAUAAAUACAACACAGUUUAAUUUGAAAAAACUAUUCAGAUAACCUACAGAGAAGCAGGAAAACCAAAAAGAACAAUAAAAACAGAAAACAAAUAGAAAACAAAAACAAAGGAUACACUUAAUUCCUAAGACAUCAAUAAAUACACUAAAUGUAAAAGGUUCAAAUAUAUCAAUUGAAAGACACAGACUGGUAGGUUUAAA